Thalassophryne amazonica is the source of this 125-nucleotide long non-coding RNA. RefSeq lists it as uncharacterized. Lineage: Eukaryota; Metazoa; Chordata; Actinopteri; Batrachoidiformes; Batrachoididae. The transcript has 3 exons. The record is from RefSeq and is a predicted model, not a curated record.
UUGCUGUGUCAUGUUUUGUUCUUGUAAAAUGUUGCAAAAUCUUGUAACCGUUAGCAUGGCCCAAGCAGUGGGUCACCCCUUUAAGUCUGGUCUGCUUGAGGUUUCUUCCUCAGUAUCAUCAGAGG